Molecule: long non-coding RNA, 436 nt
Organism: Dromaius novaehollandiae (emu)
Lineage: Eukaryota; Metazoa; Chordata; Aves; Casuariiformes; Dromaiidae
Exons: 3
Source: RefSeq, a predicted model, not a curated record
UCUUUGCCAGUCUGGCCUAUUUUGAGUGGAGGGGGCACAGCAACAGAUCUGAACGGCAGGCAAGCAAUAUGAUGACCCCGGGGGCGGAGUGCGGGCAGCAGCCUCUUCAACACAACACUGCUGGAGCCAAAGAGAUUAUACAUCUAACACGCAGCUCCUCAGAGAGGAGAGACAUCCAGUGUGAAACCGCCUUGUGUCUGUGGGACUGCCGAUUCGGAGAGGCUGCCGACUCUGAUUGGCGGAGCAGCCCUGCAGCAGAUCUGCAAGGUGCCUGAGGCUUCAGCACAAGAUGACUCCAAGCAGAAUGGAAAUGGAGAGACUGGCUACAAAAACCUCAGCAGAUACAUGUACUAAACUGAAUGGUAACGAGAACGCUUCUUUGCAGGCUUUUGUAAAGUCACAGGGCUAAAUUAUGGUAAAUUUAGAACUGUGAGGG